AUGCGUGGUAUCAAGAGGCGCACUGAGGCGCUCCUGCAGCCUCCUCCCUGCACGGGACUCCUCACAACCCCCAGCCUCAGCCCCCCCGACAGGGCAGGGGCUCACUCUUCCCCACUCCGGGCCAGGAACGCAGCCUGCUUGCCUUUUUUGUCCAACUGGGUGCUCUUUCUUUGCGACUGAUACAAAGUGGGAACAAACUCCGCUUCCGGUGAUGCCCGGGCCCCAGGAGGCUGGAGGAGAAGUGCACGCUGCCCGGCCUUCAACCUGAACUGCCCCCAGCACUUCCGAGCCCCGACCCCUGCAGCUGUGAGGCUCCGGUCCCUGGGGGGGCACCCAUGCCCCAGGAGCACCUCCCCAAGGCCAU
RNAcentral lists this long non-coding RNA (364 nucleotides) under Pongo abelii (Sumatran orangutan). RNAcentral's name for it is "lincRNA". The record is from RNAcentral. Lineage: Eukaryota; Metazoa; Chordata; Mammalia; Primates; Hominidae.